ACAAGCGGUGGAGCAUGUGGUUUAAUUCGAAGCUACGCGAAGAACCUUACCAGGUCUUGACAUACUAUGCAAAUCUAAGAGAUUAGACGUUCCCUUCGGGGACAUGGAUACAGGUGGUGCAUGGUUGUCGUCAGCUCGUGUCGUGAGAUGUUGGGUUAAGUCCCGCAACGAGCGCAACCCUUAUUAUCAGUUGCCAGCAUUAAGUUGGGCACUCUGGUGAGACUGCCGGUGACAAACCGGAGGAAGGUGGGGAUGACGUCAAAUCAUCAUGCCCCUUAUGACCUGGGCUACACACGUGCUACAAUGGAUGGUACAACGAGUUGCGAACUCGCGAGAGUAAGCUAAUCUCUUAAAGCCAUUCUCAGUUCGGAUUGUAGGCUGCAACUCGCCUACAUGAAGUCGGAAUCGCUAGUAAUCGCGGAUCAGCAUGCCGCGGUGAAUACGUUCCCGGGCCUUGU
This 458-nucleotide ribosomal RNA is filed under the name Lactiplantibacillus plantarum. RNAcentral describes it as "bacterial SSU rRNA". It matches the Rfam family "Bacterial small subunit ribosomal RNA", at positions 925 to 1384 of the family's 1533-position model. Lineage: Bacteria; Bacillati; Bacillota; Bacilli; Lactobacillales; Lactobacillaceae. The record is from RNAcentral.